Molecule: long non-coding RNA, 839 nt
Organism: Pogoniulus pusillus (Red-fronted tinkerbird)
Lineage: Eukaryota; Metazoa; Chordata; Aves; Piciformes; Lybiidae
Exons: 2
Source: RefSeq, a predicted model, not a curated record
AGGGCGCGGGGCGGGUUGCGCCGCCAUGUUGGCCUGAGGAGGCAGAGCGGAGCCGGUGUUGCUGCGGGACUGCGGCUCGCUUCGCUGUGCCUCCGCCUCUUGGGGCGGCUUACGGUAGGAGCGGCUGUUAAAAAGCUGUCUUGGUAUGAGCCCUGAAGUGGCUGAGGAGGAGUGGCAAGAGCAUUCCAAAAACCUACGUUAGCAUGAAGUAGUUGAAUAAGCCUGACAGGCUCCUAGUCCCGCCCUCAGCCGCUCUCACAAAGUCCUUUCUCGGCGUGAUCAUGUGGUGAAACGAGAACUGAUCCCGUUUGUAUUGUGUAGAGGAAGAAGAGUACAGACAUCUCUGCUAGAUCUUCAGUUUAUUCCCCGAACAAAGAGGUAUUUUGUGACUUUUUUUUACAUCAAUAGUAAUUUUUGUGGUUAACUAGGCAAUGGUCUUUGCUUUGGCCUUCAAAAUCAGUGAUAAAGCUGUUUGGUUUUGCUGGUGUGGCUUUGCUUCAUUAGCUUAGUUGAAACAGGACUGUUCCACCUUGGAAAGACUCCUGGUAGCUGCUUGGCAGGCUGGCUCAGCACAUCUCUGCUCCCAGAAAUAACAAACCUUUUGGCUGCAAGCAUCCCAGCCUUUCUCCCAAAGACUAGUAAAUUAACCUGCCUUCCUGUUUCAUGUCAAGCUGAGCAGUAACCCCACAUCCAUGGGAUAAAUGCUCAGCUACUGUAUCUAGUGCAAGAUACGUUUGCCAAUUGUAAAGUUCUCUCUUGCCUAUUUAAAAUUUGAUAAACAUUCUCUGAAUAAGCGAGGAACUGAUUACUUAGUUACUAGCUGAACUUCCUAAGAUGAA